Molecule: ribosomal RNA, 301 nt
Filed under: uncultured bacterium
Lineage: Bacteria
Description: partial 16S ribosomal RNA
Rfam family: Bacterial small subunit ribosomal RNA
Source: RNAcentral
CAGUAGCCACGGUAAUACGUAGGUGGCGAGCGUUGUCCGGAAUCAUUGGGCGUAAAGGGAGCGCAGGCGGGCAUGUAAGUCUUUCUUAAAAGUUCGGGGCUCAACCCCGUGAUGGGAAAGAAACUACAUGUCUUGAGUACAGGAGAGGAAAGCGGAAUUCCCAGUGUAGCGGUGAAAUGCGUAGAUAUUGGGAGGAACACCAGUGGCGAAGGCGGCUUUCUGGACUGCAACUGACGCUGAGGCUCGAAAGCCAGGGGAGCGAACGGGAUUAGAUACCCGCGUAGUCCCUGUCUCUUAUACC